RNAcentral lists this transfer RNA (94 nucleotides) under Streptomyces sp. NBRC 13847. RNAcentral describes it as "tRNA-Ile". Lineage: Bacteria; Bacillati; Actinomycetota; Actinomycetes; Kitasatosporales; Streptomycetaceae. The record is from RNAcentral.
CGCCCGCCAUGGCGUGGCGGGCCAGAGCCCGUCGUGAUGCGACGGGCAAAGGUCGACCAUAGGGGCAGACCGGAUCAUCACGGAUGGUGUGCGG